GAGUCUGCAACUCGACUCCACGAAGCUGGAUUCGCUAGUAAUCGCGCAUCAGCCAUGGCGCGGUGAAUACCGUUCCCGGGCCUUGUACACACCGCCCGUCAAGCCAUGAAAGCCGGGGGUGCCUGAAGUCCGUGACCGCGAGGGUCGGCCUAGGGUAAAACUGGUGAUUGGGGCUAAGUCGUAACAAGGUAUC
This 193-nucleotide ribosomal RNA is filed under the name uncultured bacterium. Its description in RNAcentral is "partial 16S ribosomal RNA". It matches the Rfam family "Bacterial small subunit ribosomal RNA", at positions 1301 to 1500 of the family's 1533-position model. The record is from RNAcentral.